Molecule: ribosomal RNA, 466 nt
Filed under: uncultured bacterium
Lineage: Bacteria
Description: partial 16S ribosomal RNA
Rfam family: Bacterial small subunit ribosomal RNA
Source: RNAcentral
GAUGAACGCUGGCGGCGUGCUUAACACAUGCAAGUCGAACGGAAAGGCCCAAGCUUGCUUGGGUACUCGAGUGGCGAACGGGUGAGUAACACGUGGGUGAUCUGCCCUGCACUUCGGGAUAAGCCUGGGAAACUGGGUCUAAUACCGGAUAGGACCACAUUUUGGUUGGUGUGGUGGAAAGUUUUUCGGUGUGGGAUGAGCUCGCGGCCUAUCAGCUUGUUGGUGGGGUAAUGGCCUACAAAGGCGUCGACGGGUAGCCGGCCUGAGAGGGUGUACGGCCACAUUGGGACUGAGAUACGGCCCAGACUCCUACGGGAGGCAGCAGUGGGGAAUAUUGCACAAUGGGCGCAAGCCUGAGGCAGCGACGCCGCGUGGGGGAUGACGGCCUUCGGGUUGUAAACGCCUUUCGCUAGGGACGAAGCGUUAUGUGACGGUACCUGGAGAAGAAGCACCGGCUAACUACGUG